Molecule: non-coding RNA, 3639 nt
Organism: Candidatus Yonathbacteria bacterium
Lineage: Bacteria; Candidatus Yonathiibacteriota
Source: Rfam
UUACAGGAAAUUAAGAGCAUAUGGUGGAUGCCUUGGUUCUCAGAGGCGACGAAAGACGUGGUAUGGCUGCGAUAAGCUUCGGGGAGGUGCCUAGCGACCUUUGAUCCGGAGAUCUCUGAAUGAGGAAACUCAUUGACUUUUAUAGGUCAAUACCUUACUUAGUAAGGUGCAUACCCAGGGAAGUGAAACAUCUCAGUACCUGGUGGAAAAUAAAAAAAGCUGCCGAAUGGCAGAACAUUUCCUGAGUAGCGGCGAGCGAAACGGAAAGAGCCCAAACCCCCACCACUGUUGACGCAAUAUUGAAAAAUAUUGUUUCAAGAGUGGUGGGGGGGUUGUAAGGCAAGAGCGUCGUAUUUAUACGAGAAAAGUUACAAAAUGUUUUGUUAGCUGAAGUUGCUGGAAAGCAACGCCCUAGACGGUGAUAGCCCGGUAAGCGAAAACUAAACAUCUUUUUUGCUCUUGUUCUUGAGUACUUCGAGACAUGAAUAGCUCGGGGGAAUCCAGGAGUACUAACUCCUAAGGCUAAAUACUCUGAGAAACCGAUAGUGAACUAGUACCGUGAGGGAAAGGUGAAAAGAACCCCGGCGAGGGGAGUGAAAUAGAACUGAAACCAUAUGCUUACAAGGAGUCGGAGCCCUUUCGGGGGUGACGGCGUGCCUAUUGAAGAAUGAGCCAACGAGUUCAUAUAUAUUGCGUGGCUAAGCCCUUUUCGGGCGGAGCCGUAGGGAAACCGAGUGUGAAUAGCGCGUUUGUAGUAUGUAUGAGACCCGAAGCCAGAUGAGCUUGCCAUGAGCAGGGUGAACUCUUGAGAAAUUAAGAGGGAGGCCCGAACCGGUUGGCCGUGCGACACCAUCGGAUGACUUGUGGUAAGGAGUGAAAAGCUAAUCGAAUCUGGUAAUAGCUGGUUCUCUCCGAAAUAGUUUUUGGACUAGCGUCUUGUGUACCCUCUGGGGGUAGAGCACUGGAAGGAUUGGACAGGGAGAAAUCUCGCUAAUCCUAUCAAACUCCGAAUACCAGAGAUUAAUUACAAGGCAGUAAGACUGCGGGGGCGAAGCUCCGUCGGUCAAAAGGGAAAAAGCCCAGAUCUCAAGUUAAGGUCCCUAAAUCUAUGCUAAGUGCACUUAAGGAGGUGGAGUUUCAUUGACAGUGAGGAUGUUGGCUUAGAAGCAGCCAUCAUUUAAAGAAAGCGUAACAGCUCACUCACUAAGAGAUUCUGCGCCGCAGAUAAUCGGGGCUAAGCAUAGUACCGAAACUGAGGGUUUUAUCGUCUUUCGAGAUGGUAAAGCGGUAGGAGAGCGUUCUUGUCUGCACUGAAGGGGAAGCGUGAGCAACCCUGGAGCGUCAAGAAGUGAGAAUGUUGGCACAAGUAACCACAAUGCGGGUGAGAUCCCCGCACGCCGUAAGACUAAGGUUUCCUUGGCGAUGAUAAUCAGCCAAGGGUUAGUCGGGCCUAAGGUGAUGGCGAAAGCCGGAACCGAUGGACACAGGGUUAAUAUUCCCUGACUUCUUUUUUGUGCGAUGGAGUGACGAAGAUUUGUAUGUUUCGCGCAUUAUUGGAUUUGCGUUUGUGGUAUGAGGGUGAUUCUCAGGUAAAUCCGGGAAUCUGGGUUUAAUCCCACUCCAAGUACAGCAGAAAUCGCGAGGUUCGCCUCGCGGGAUGAGACAGAGCAGUCUUCCGAGAAAAGCUUCUCAGCAUAACAAAAAAGAAACCGUACCGUAAACCGACACAGGUAGUCGAGUCGAGUAGACUAAGGCGAACGAGUGAUUGUUUCUCAAGGAACUCGGCAAAAAAGCAGCCGUAACUUCGGGAUAAGGCUUGCCUUUCCUCAGCAAUGAGGAGGGGCCGCAGCGAAAGAUUUCCUGGCAACUGUUUACCAAAAACACAGCUCCAUGCUAAUUCGUAAGAAGAUGUAUAUGGGGUGACGCCUGACCAAUGCCAGAAGGUCAAACAGUGGCGGUAUGCGCAUCACACAGGGUACGAUAAUUAUUAUCGCGCGUUGUGUGAUGCGUAUGCAGACCGUUGUAAGCCCUGGUGAAUGUCGGCAAUAACUAUAAUUGUCCUAAGGUUUCGGCACUGACUAUAUGUUGGUGCCGAAAGGAUUGGGACGAUUAUAGGGUGAGUGGUAAGCAAGUUAAAUAUAUUACACAUUGAAAUGCUACCUACAAUACAGCGAUGUAUUGUUGAUCCAAUCAUGGCUAACGAGAGACCAACGCCAUGCAUCCCAACUCUAUAUAGAGCGGAUGAAGAUAGAGUCCUUCUGUGAGGAAUAGAAGAGCGUAAUUCCUUGUCUGGUAAGUUCAGACGUGCACGAAUGGCGUAAUGACUGGGAAACUGUCUCGAGAAACAGCUCGGUGAAAAUACAAUACCGGUGAAGAUGCCGGUUACCUGCAGUUAGACGAAAAGACCCCAGAAGCUUUACUAUAGCUUGAUAUUGAGUAUGUUCUGUACCUGCGUAGCAUAGGUGGGAGGAUUUGAAGCAGCCUUUUCGGGGGCUGUGGAUCCGUCAGUGAAAUACCACUCUUGUUCGGGGCAUAUUCUAAUCUGUACGGAAAAAACGUGCGGUGACAGUAUCUGGUAGGUAGUUUGAGUGGGGCGCUCUCCUCCUAAAAAGUAACGGAGGAGUCUAUUAAGGUCCUCUAGGCGCGAAUGGAAACCGUGCCGAUAGCGUAAUGGCAAAAGAGGGCUUGACUGUAAGACGUACGAGUCGAGCAGGUGCGAAAGCAGAGCAUAGUGAACCGACAACACGCUUUAGACGCGGUUGAAGAUUAACGGAUAAAAGCUACUCUGGGGAUAACAGGCUAGUUCCGCCCAAGAGUUCAUAUCGACGGCGGAGUUCGGCACCUUAACAUAAUCGGGGUGCGUCAGGAGUAAUCCUGUAGCAACAAAUUUAUAAUCGUCAUUAAAUAAUAUAUAAAAGAAAUCUUGGCUUAUAACGGUGAAGCCCUUAUACAUGAACAAUAUAGGGGUAAUACCGUGGGAAGUUUGCAUUCAAGAAAGCGAUCACUUCAUAAUUUUAUGAAGAGCUACGCUGUAUUUUAAAAUACAGGAUUGAGUGUAUAACCCCGUAGAGACUUGUCAUCUGAGAGUGCAUAGUAUGCACAAUCACUAUAUGACAGAGUUAUGAGAAGAUCAUAGCUAAUACGCCAACGCCUCUUUGAUCGAGAGGGUGAAGAAUAGUCCGAUCCUCGCAGUAAUGCGAGACAAAUACGACAGCGAUGUCGGCUCAACUUAUCCUGGAGGUGGAGAAGCUUCCAAGGGUUUGGCUGUUCGCCAAUUAAAAAGUUACGCGAGCUGGGUUCAAACCGUCGUGAGACAGGUUGGUCUCCUAUCUACUGCAGGCGUUGAUUUUUGAGGGGAUUUGCUCCUAGUACGAGAGGACCGGAGUGAACUGACCUCUGGUGUGGCUGUUGUCCUGCCAAGGGCACCGCAGCAUAGCUAUGUCGGGAAUGGAUAACCUCUGAAAGCAUCUAAGAGGGAAGCCAACCCNNNNNNNNNNNNNNAAAGCAUCUAAGAGGGAAGCCAACCCCAAGAUCAGAAAUCGUUUGAGGCCCGUAAGAGAUUAUUACGUUGAUAGGCUCUAGGUGUACGGCGCGUAAGCGCUUUAGCCGAGGAGUACUAAUACGCCGAUUCCUGUUGGG